RNAcentral lists this ribosomal RNA (429 nucleotides) under uncultured bacterium. RNAcentral's name for it is "bacterial SSU rRNA". It matches the Rfam family "Bacterial small subunit ribosomal RNA", at positions 355 to 775 of the family's 1533-position model. The record is from RNAcentral.
UGGGGAAUUGUUCACAAUGGGCGCAAGCCUGAUGACGCAACGCCGCGUGGGGGAUGAAGGCCUUCGGGUCGUAAACCCCUGUCGAAUGGGACGAAUAGCCUGCGAUUUAACAAAACGCAGGAAUGACGGUACCGUUAAAGGAAGCCACGGCUAACUCUGUGCCAGCAGCCGCGGUAAUACAGAGGUGGCAAGCGUUGUUCGGAAUUACUGGGCGUAAAGGGCGCGUAGGCGGCCUUCUAAGUCAGACGUGAAAUCCCCCGGCUUAACCUGGGAACUGCGUCUGAUACUGGGAGGCUUGAGUAUGGGAGAGGGAUGUAGAAUUCCAGGUGUAGCGGUGAAAUGCGUAGAUAUCUGGAGGAAUACCGGUGGCGAAGGCGGCAUCCUGGACCAUAACUGACGCUGAGGCGCGAAAGCUAGGGGAGCAAACGG